AAGUAAUGUGAAUUGCAGAUUUUCAGUGAAUCAUUGAAUCUUUGAACGCACCGUGCGCUCGUUGGUAUUCCGAGGAGCAUGCCUGUUUGAGUGUCAUUAAAUUCUCAACCCUGAACCUUUUGGUUUCGGGGCUUGGACUUGGAGCGUGCUGGCCUUUCCGGGGUCGGCUCCUCUCAAAUGCAUCAGCGGAAUCUAACCUUUGGUUUCCGGAAGUCGGUGUGAUAAUCAUGUUGCGCCGUCGUCUGACCUCAAAGUCCGCUUACAAUGGUCUUCGGACAACUUAUCAAAUUUGACCUCAAAUCAGGUAGGACUACCCGCUGAACUUAAGCAUAUCAAUAAGCGGAGGA
This 347-nucleotide ribosomal RNA is filed under the name uncultured Piloderma. RNAcentral's name for it is "eukaryotic LSU rRNA". The stretch from base 1 to 96 matches the Rfam family "5.8S ribosomal RNA", at positions 60 to 154 of the family's 154-position model. The record is from RNAcentral. Lineage: Eukaryota; Fungi; Basidiomycota; Agaricomycetes; Atheliales; Atheliaceae.